Molecule: ribosomal RNA, 497 nt
Filed under: uncultured bacterium
Lineage: Bacteria
Description: partial 16S ribosomal RNA
Rfam family: Bacterial small subunit ribosomal RNA
Source: RNAcentral
GAUGAACGCUGGCGGCGUGCCUAAUACAUGCAAGUCGAGCGAACGGACGAGAAGCUUGCUUCUCUGAUGUUAGCGGCGGACGGGUGAGUAACACGUGGAUAACCUACCUAUAAGACUGGGAUAACUUCGGGAAACCGGAGCUAAUACCGGAUAAUAUUUUGAACCGCAUGGUUCAAAAGUGAAAGACGGUCUUGCUGUCACUUAUAGAUGGAUCCGCGCUGCAUUAGCUAGUUGGUAAGGUAACGGCUUACCAAGGCAACGAUGCAUAGCCGACCUGAGAGGGUGAUCGGCCACACUGGAACUGAGACACGGACCAGACUCCUACGGGAGGCAGCAGUAGGGAAUCUUCCGCAAUGGGCGAGAGCCUGACGGAGCAACGCCGCGUGAGUGAUGAAGGUCUUCGGAUCGUAAAACUCUGUUAUUAGGGAAGAACAUAUGUGUAAGUAACUGUGCACAUCUUGACGGUACCUAAUCAGAAAGCCACGGCUAACUACGUG